GGCCACCUUCGGGGGGCUAACCAUAGGCAGGGUAACCUGCCGCAGCUAACGGAAGACAGAAA
RNAcentral lists this non-coding RNA (62 nucleotides) under unclassified sequences. RNAcentral's name for it is "L2-Alphaproteobacteria ribosomal protein leader". It matches the Rfam family "L2-Alphaproteobacteria ribosomal protein leader". The record is from RNAcentral.